CUUAGGGAUAAGGGGUGCCACCAUCAGGUGGCCGCAGAGAAUAGGCCCAAGCGACUGUUUACCAAAAACAUAGGUUUCUGCUAAGUCGCAAGACGAUGUAUAGGAGCUGACGCCUGCCCGGUGCUGGACGGUUAAGGGGAUCUGUUAGAGCAAUCGAAGCAGUGAACUUAAGCCCCAGUAAACGGCGGCCGUAACUAUAACGGUCCUAAGGUAGCGAAAUUCCUUGUCGGGUAAGUUCCGACCCGCACGAAAGGCGUAACGAUUUGGGCACUGUCUCAACAACAGACUCGGUGAAAUUGUAAUUCCGGUG
This 310-nucleotide ribosomal RNA is filed under the name Clostridioides difficile. RNAcentral's name for it is "bacterial LSU rRNA". It matches the Rfam family "Bacterial large subunit ribosomal RNA", at positions 1734 to 2055 of the family's 2925-position model. Lineage: Bacteria; Bacillati; Bacillota; Clostridia; Peptostreptococcales; Peptostreptococcaceae. The record is from RNAcentral.